UAGGGAAUCUUCCACAAUGGGCGCAAGCCUGAUGGAGCAACACCGCGUGAGUGAAGAAGGGUUUCGGCUCGUAAAGCCCUGUUGUUAAGAAGAACACGUAUGAGAGUAACUGUUCAUACGUUGACGGUAUUUAACCAGAAAGUCACGGCUAACUACGUGCCAG
RNAcentral lists this ribosomal RNA (163 nucleotides) under uncultured bacterium. RNAcentral's name for it is "partial 16S rRNA". It matches the Rfam family "Bacterial small subunit ribosomal RNA", at positions 355 to 511 of the family's 1533-position model. The record is from RNAcentral.